GACGAACGCUGGCGGCGUGCUUAACACAUGCAAGUCGAACGGACAGGCCCUGCUUUUGUGGGGUGCUCGAGUGGCGAACGGGUGAGUAACACGUGAGUAACCUGCCCUUGACUUUGGGAUAACUUCAGGAAACUGGGGCUAAUACCGGAUAGGUGCUCCUGCUGCAUGGUGGUGGUUGGAAAGUUUCGGCGGUUGGGGAUGGACUCGCGGCUUAUCAGCUUGUUGGUGGGGUAGUGGCUUACCAAGGCUUUGACGGGUAGCCGGCCUGAGAGGGUGACCGGCCACAUUGGGACUGAGAGACGGCCCAGACUCCUACGGGAGGCAGCAGUGGGGAAUAUUGCACAAUGGGCGGAAGCCUGAUGCAGCAACGCCGCGUGCGGGAUGACGGCCUUCGGGUUGUAAACCGCUUUCGCCUGUGACGAAGCGUGAGUGACGGUAAUGGGUAAAGAAGCACCGGCUAACUACGUG
Molecule: ribosomal RNA, 468 nt
Filed under: uncultured bacterium
Lineage: Bacteria
Description: partial 16S ribosomal RNA
Rfam family: Bacterial small subunit ribosomal RNA
Source: RNAcentral